CGUACACUCCUACGGGAGGCAGCAGUGGGGAAUAUUGCACAAUGGGGGAAACCCUGAUGCAGCCACGCCGCGUGAGUGAUGAAGGUUUUCGGAUCGUAAAGCUCUGUCUUUGGGGAAGAUAAUGACGGUACCCAAGGAGGAAGCCACGGCUAACUACGUGCCAGCAGCCGCGGUAAUACGUAGGUGGCGAGCGUUAUCCGGAUUUACUGGGCGUAAAGGGAGCGUAGGCGGAUGAUUAAGUGGGAUGUGAAAUACCCGGGCUCAACUUGGGUGCUGCAUUCCAAACUGGUUAUCUAGAGUGCAGGAGAGGAGAGUGGAAUUCCUAGUGUAGCGGUGAAAUGCGUAGAGAUUAGGAAGAACACCAGUGGCGAAGGCGACUCUCUGGACUGUAACUGACGCUGAGGCUCGAAAGCGUGGGGAUCAAACAGGAUUAGAUACCCGGGUAGUCCCA
Molecule: ribosomal RNA, 451 nt
Filed under: uncultured organism
Description: partial 16S ribosomal RNA
Rfam family: Bacterial small subunit ribosomal RNA
Source: RNAcentral